ACCACUGAGCCAUCUCUCCAGUCCAAGGUGGUUUUUUAAAAAUAUAAUUUAUUGGGCUGGAGAGAUGGCUCAGCAGU
Molecule: non-coding RNA, 77 nt
Organism: Mus musculus (house mouse)
Lineage: Eukaryota; Metazoa; Chordata; Mammalia; Rodentia; Muridae
Source: Rfam